Molecule: unclassified non-coding RNA, 379 nt
Filed under: uncultured Pseudomonadota bacterium
Lineage: Bacteria; Pseudomonadati; Pseudomonadota
Description: uncultured proteobacterium contains 16S-23S intergenic spacer region
Source: RNAcentral
UCCGAGUUGUCCCCGGCAGUCUCCUACGAGUCCCCGGCAUUACCCGCUGGCAACAUAGGACGAGGGUUGCGCUCGUUGCGGGACUUAACCCAACAUCUCACGACACGAGCUGACGACAGCCAUGCAGCACCUGUGUUCCGGGCUCCGAAGAGAAGGUCACAUCUCUGCGACCGGUCCCGGACAUGUCAAGGGCUGGUAAGGUUCUGCGCGUUGCGUCGAAUUAAACCACAUACUCCACCGCUUGUGCAGGCCCCCGUCAAUUUCUUUGAGUUUUAACCUUGCGGCCGUACUCCCCAGGCGGUCAACUUCACGCGUUUGCUACGGUACUCAGAAAUCGCUUCCCGAACACCCAGUUGACAUGGUUUAGGGCGUGGACUAC